This 297-nucleotide ribosomal RNA is filed under the name uncultured Rozellomycota. RNAcentral's name for it is "uncultured Cryptomycota partial 18S ribosomal RNA". It matches the Rfam family "Eukaryotic small subunit ribosomal RNA", at positions 554 to 877 of the family's 1831-position model. The record is from RNAcentral. Lineage: Eukaryota; Fungi; Rozellomycota.
GGCAAGUCUGGUGCCCAGCAGCCGCGGUAAUUCCAGCUCCAAUAGCGUAUAUUAAAGUUGUUGCAGUUAAAAGCUCGUAGUUGGACCGGAGAUGGAGGAAGGAAGGGUCGCAAGACGCAGCUUUCCUCCAUGGAAUUGGAGGAAGGGUCUUGGAAACAAGAUCCGCGCCCUCAGGUUACUGUGAAGAAAUUAGAGUGUUUAAAGCAGGCUUACGCUUGAAUACAUCAGCAUGGAAUAACAAGAUAUGGAAGAUGGAAGAUCUUGUUGGUUUAAUCCAUUUUUAAUGUAUUAAUAGGA